Molecule: ribosomal RNA, 406 nt
Filed under: uncultured bacterium
Lineage: Bacteria
Description: partial 16S ribosomal RNA
Rfam family: Bacterial small subunit ribosomal RNA
Source: RNAcentral
AUUGAACGCUGGCGGCAGGCCUAACACAUGCAAGUCGAACGAGUGGCGGACGGGUGAGUAAUGUCUGGGAAACUGCCCGAUGGAGGGGGAUAACUACUGGAAACGGUAGCUAAUACCGCAUACCAUCGGAUGUGCCCAGAUGGGAUUAGCUAGUAGGUGGGGUAACGGCUCACCUAGGCGACGAUCCCUAGCUGGUCUGAUAGGAUGACCAGCCACACUGGAACUGAGACACGGCCCAGACUCCUACGGUAGGCAGGAGUGGGGAAUAUGGCACAAUGGGCGAAAGCCUGAUGCAGCCAUGCCGCGUGUAGGAAGAAGGCCUUCGGGUUGUAAAGUACUGUCAGCGAGGAGGCGUUACUCGCAGAAGAAGCACCGGCUAACUCCGUGCCAGCAGCCGCGGUAAUUC